Molecule: long non-coding RNA, 3479 nt
Filed under: Mus musculus (house mouse)
Lineage: Eukaryota; Metazoa; Chordata; Mammalia; Rodentia; Muridae
Description: long non-coding RNA chr8:111584344-111587823
Source: RNAcentral
AAAAAGUACAUGGUGAUGGGGCUGGAGAGAUGGCUCAGCAGUUAAGAGCACUGUCUGCUCCCAGAGAACUGGGGUUCAGUUCCCAGCACCCCAUAUGGCAGCUCACAACCAUCCUUAACGUCAGUUCCAGGAAAUCUGGUGCCUGUUUGGACUUGUUCGGCACCAGGCCUGCAGGCAGAGCACUCAUACACAUAAACUAAAAAUAAGAGAUUUGUAAAAGAUGCUUUGUUAGACUUUUGUGGGCUUUUUGGCUUUGUUUUUCAAGACAGGGUUUCACUGUAGCCUUUGCUCUCCAGGACCUCACUCUGUAGACCAGGCUGGCCUUAAACUCAGAAAUCCACCUGCCUCUGCCUCCCGAGUGCUGGGAUUAAAGGUGUGUGCCACAGCCACCCAACUGAAUUUAAUUUUUUAAAAAAUAUAAAGUAUAAAGUCUUUCACUUUGAUGUUUCAUACUUUAGUCCAGUUGUCUAGUAACCACAGGCAGGGCAAGAGAGUCAAACGUUCAAAGCCUGUGGAGUUCAAGGCCAUUCUGUGUAAGCCUAGUAACUCGGUGAGACCCUGCCCACGGGUUUAGAGUGCAGAGCUAGCUCGGUAAUAGAGCACAUUCCUAGUGUAGGCAAGGCCUUAGUUAUGCCCAGCCUCCCUCAUGCAUCCUCAGAGCUGUGCAGAAUAAUUAGCCCCAAGACUGAGAUCGUCCAUUCAACACUUGGCUUUAGUAGGUGAAGGUAGAGAGCGUGCUGGUGGUUUUGAAAGUGAAAGAUUCAUCUUAUGAAAUCAUUCUGGAUACUUUGUGAACCCCAUGCAUCUGGUUUCACUUGGCACCAUGUGUGUCCACUGAUGUCAGGAGAAAUGAACACUUGUGAGCACAUUGCAAAACUGCUCUGCUUCUUGGUCCAGGGAAGGACCCACUCCUGUUAGCCUUCUCCUGAUAAGGGAGAAAAAUCCAGUAGAGAAGGAGAGUGAGGCGCCCUUUAACCAAAGGGUUUAUGUCUGCUGGGUGGUACAUGCCUGUACUCUCAGCAUUUGGGAAGUAGAGAGAGGCAGAAGGAUCAGUUUAUGGUCAUCAUUGCUACAUGAGACUAAGUUUGAGGUUGGCCUGGACUACAAAAGACCCCGUCUCAGAAAACAAAGCUCCUCCGCCAGUCGGUGGUGGUGGCCAGCAGCCUCUGAGGACGAGCUUACCUUUUUGUUUCCCUGUGAAAGUACAAGUUUGCUAAAGGAGGCACAAUCUUCAUGUGCUGCAAUUUUAAAAAAUUUAUUUUGUGACUAAGUUGUGAAUAGAAGUUUUCACCAAACCUUUGCUGAUGUUUCUGUAGCUCUGAAUUUAUGUCAGUUAAGAUUACCAUCUUUAUAAUGUCAGAUCUUAUGCAAGAAUAUAUAAUGUCCCUUUGUUUAGUGGAUGUCUCAAGAGUGCUGCACCUUCCUUUUUAAGUUACUUACUACUAGAAACAUGGUUUCUUCUAUUAUUUUUGUUUCUAGCUAAUUUAUUGCUGACAUAGAAGAUGCAAUUUGAUAAAUAGAUCUUGUGGUUUACAUGAUAUAAAAAAGCAAUUAUUAUCUCUUCCUUUCUAAUGUCUAUAUUAAGGUUUCCCCUCCUUGACCUGCAGAUCAGUGCCUCCACAGUUAUGUUCAACAAUGGUUUUUCCAUUGAAUAUAAAUUUGCUGUAGGGCUGGUGAGAUGGCUCAGUGGGUAAGAGUACCCGACUGCUCUUCCGAAGGUCCGGAGUUCAAAUCCCAGCAACCACAUGGUGGCUCACAACCAUCUGUAACAAGAUCUGAUCCCCUCUCUGGAGUGUCUGAAGACAGCUACAGUAUACUUACAUAUAAUAAAUAAAUAAAUAAAUAAAUAAAUCUUUAAAAAAAAUAAAUUUGCUGUAAUUUUUGGUAAAGAUACUCAUAUUUUUUCAAUUAGGUAUUCCUCUUCCUAUUUUAUUGAGAAUUGUAAACAUAAAAUAGUAAUGAAUUCUACUUUGUUUUCUGUAUCAACUGAAAUCAUCAUUUUCCCUUCCUUGGACUGUUGGAAAUAUAAGGUUUUCUUGUGUGCUGGCUAGUUUCAUGUCAAUUUGACACACACUAAGUCAUCAGAGAGGAGGGAGCCUCAGGUGAGAAAAUGUCUCAUAAGAUAUGGCUAUAAGCAAUUGUCUUAAUUAGAAUUAGUGAUUGAUGGGGGGAGAGCCCAGUACAUUGUGGGCGGUGCCAUCCCUAGGCUGGUGGUCCAGGGUUCUAUAAGACAUCAGGCUGAGCAAGCACCAAUGGCAUCUACAUCAGCUCCUGCCUCCAGGUUCCUGCCCUGCUUGAGUUCCUGUCCUGUCUUCCUUUGAUGAUGAACAGUGAUAUGGAAGCCAGAUAACCUUUCUCCCCAACUUUCUUUUUGGUCAUGGUAUUUUAUCACAGCAAUAGAAGACACCUUGUGUUUGGAGGAAAACUGCACUUUCUGUGACUUGUAUGUCCUCAGUACUGCCAUUGGGGAGCUUUUCCAUUUGUGACUAGAUGGUAAUAUUCACAAGGCCGUGAUUACCUUCAAAGAAAGAGAAUCCAACUUCUAGUCUCCACCCAAGACAGCAGAGAGAGAUGCUCAUGUGGCCAUCCUGCCUCUAGUUUUACACUCCCACCUUCCCCUCCUAUAAUCAGCUGAGUCUAUAGAGUUGGUUCUCCCUGGAUAAGCCCCCCACACAAGAUAAAGAACAGUGUCACUAAUAAUUUGUAUCAUACCUAUUCUAUAACAAAAUACCUAAAACUUAAAAGUUUAAGCCAGUAACAAUCACUGUCUCCCACCAGUAUUUAAAGUCAGGAAAUGAGCAGCUCAGAGGCCUGGGGCUUUACAGCUUCUAUGAAGCAGUUAGAUGUGACUAUCUUCAAGGCUUCUUCAGGCACAUGCCUGGUAUCCUCUGGGGAGACUCAUGAAUGGCCAGAGUUCCUUAGCAUCUCUGCUUUUGUGUAAGGUUUUUUUGUUUUUUUUGUUUUGUUUUGCUUUGUUUUUGUUUUUUUUGAGACAGAGUUUCUCUGUGUAGCCCUGGCUGUCCUGGAGCUCACUUUGUAGACCAGGCUGGCCUCGAACUCAGAAAUCCGCCUGCCUCUGCCUCUGCGUCUGCCUCCCAAGUGCUAGGAUUAAAGGUGUGCGCCACCACGCCCAGCUUGUGUAAAUUUUUUAUGUGACUUGUUCUGCCUCAGGGGUGGGUGUGGGCACAUAUACACACACACACACACACACACACACAAACUUGGCUAGGGUUACAAAAGAACCAGGGAGCUACAGCAAUUUUUAACUAUUUAUUUUGAGACAAGAUUUUUAUUUAUCUAUUUUUAGAGAUACAUACCUGUCCUCUUAGGAUACUGAGGCAGGAGGAUCACAAAUUUGAGAUAAGGCUGAGCAACUUAGCAAAACCCUGUUUGAAGAUAAAAUUAAGGCCACAGAUGUGGCUCAGUGGCAGAGCCCUUAUCUGUCAUGUGCAAGGUUUGGGUUUAGUCUCCAUUACUGU